AUAUAGGCCAGAGACCGAUAGCGCACAAGUAGAGUGAUCGAAAGAUGAAAAGCACUUUGAAAAGAGGGUUAAAAAGCACGUGAAAUUGUUGAAAGGGAAGCGCCUGUGACCAGACUCGCGCCCGGCGGAUCAUCCGGCGUUCUCGCCGGUGCACUCCGCCGGGCUCGGGCCAGCAUCGGUUCUGGUGGGGGGAUAAAGGCGGCGGGGAUGUGGCUCCCCCGGGAGUGUUAUAGCCCGCCGCUCAAUGCCCUCGCCGGGACCGAGGACCGCGCAUUUGCAAGGAUGCUGGCGUAAUGGUCACCAGCGACCCGUCUUGAAACACGGACC
RNAcentral lists this ribosomal RNA (327 nucleotides) under uncultured fungus. Its description in RNAcentral is "LSU rRNA". It matches the Rfam family "Eukaryotic large subunit ribosomal RNA", at positions 320 to 667 of the family's 3401-position model. Lineage: Eukaryota; Fungi. The record is from RNAcentral.